GGAGGAACACCGAUGGCGAAGGCAGGUCUCUGGGCACUUACUGACGCUGAGGAGCGAAAGCGUGGGGAGCGAACAGGAUUAGAUACCCUGGUAGUCCACGCCGUAAACGUUGGGCGCUAGAUGUGGGGACCUUUCCACGGUUUCCGUGUCGUAGCUAACGCAUUAAGCGCCCCGCCUGGGGAGUACGGCCGCAAGGCUAAAACUCAAAGGAAUUGACGGGGGCCCGCACAAGCGGCGGAGCAUGCGGAUUAAUUCGAUGCAACGCGAAGAACCUUACCAAGGCUUGACAUAUACGAGAACGCGCCAGAAAUGGUGAACUCUUUGGACACUCGUAUACAGGUGGUGCAUGGUUGUCGUCAGCUCGUGUCGUGAGAUGUUGGGUUAAGUCCCGCAACGAGCGCAACCCUCGUCGCAUGUUGCCAGCACGUUAUGGUGGGAACUCAUGUGAGACUGCCGGGGUCAACUCGGAGGAAGGUGGGGAUGACGUCAAAUCAUCAUGCCCCUUAUGUCUUGGGCUUCACGCAUGCUACAAUGGCCGGUACAAAGGGCUGCGAUGUCGUAAGGCGGAGCGAAUCCCAAAAAGCCGGUCUCAGUUCGGAUUGAGGUCUGCAACUCGACCUCAUGAAGUCGGAGUCGCUAGUAAUCGCAGAUCAGCAACGCUGCGGUGAAUACGUUCCCGGGCCUUGUACACACCGCCCGUCAAGUCAUGAAAGUCGGUAACACCCGAAGCCGGUGGCCUAACCCUUG
RNAcentral lists this ribosomal RNA (747 nucleotides) under Agromyces indicus. Its description in RNAcentral is "bacterial SSU rRNA". It matches the Rfam family "Bacterial small subunit ribosomal RNA", at positions 700 to 1444 of the family's 1533-position model. The record is from RNAcentral. Lineage: Bacteria; Bacillati; Actinomycetota; Actinomycetes; Micrococcales; Microbacteriaceae.